This 466-nucleotide ribosomal RNA is filed under the name Vreelandella stevensii. RNAcentral's name for it is "partial 16S ribosomal RNA". It matches the Rfam family "Bacterial small subunit ribosomal RNA", at positions 338 to 795 of the family's 1533-position model. The record is from RNAcentral. Lineage: Bacteria; Pseudomonadati; Pseudomonadota; Gammaproteobacteria; Oceanospirillales; Halomonadaceae.
CCUACGGUGGAGCAGCAGUGGGGAAUAUUGGACAAUGGGCGAAAGCCUGAUCCAGCCAUGCCGCGUGUGUGAAGAAGGCCUUCGGGUUGUAAAGCACUUUCAGUGGGGAAGAAAGCCUUGGGGCUAAUACCCUCGAGGAAGGACAUCACCCACAGAAGAAGCACCGGCUAACUCCGUGCCAGCAGCCGCGGUAAUACGGAGGGUGCGAGCGUUAAUCGGAAUUACUGGGCGUAAAGCGCGCGUAGGCGGUCUGAUAAGCCGGUUGUGAAAGCCCCGGGCUCAACCUGGGAACGGCAUCCGGAACUGUCAGGCUAGAGUGCAGGAGAGGAAGGUAGAAUUCCCGGUGUAGCGGUGAAAUGCGUAGAGAUCGGGAGGAAUACCAGUGGCGAAGGCGGCCUUCUGGACUGACACUGACGCUGAGGUGCGAAAGCGUGGGUAGCAAACAGGAUUAGAUACCCCAGUAGUC